UAAUUUAAUCCCGGUCGAAAAAACGGGACCUAAUCGGAUUCCAUUUUGUUAAAUACGGUUAACAAAUUGUAAUAAUGUUUUGGAACUCUUUUUAAUAAUAUCGCCCGCAAAUUUCCGUCGUUAUUAGGGAAUAUUUUUUCGGUUAUUUUUUACCGCAAAAUAUCGUCGAUUUCGUUUAUUAAAAUACGAUAAAAGGUUAAAUCCUCCUAUAUUAAACGUAUAAAUUAUAUAACGCCUAUUAUAGUAAUAUUUACCUGUCGGUUUUUAUAUUAAUUUACCGCGUUUCUUUUAGUAUAUAUUUUCCUUUGGCAUUUUCUUAUAUGCCGAAAAGGUUUUCAGCCUUUUUAAUUUUUUUUUUGGAUAUAAUUUAGGUUUAUUAUUUUAAUUUUCAAUUUCGGUAGGUUAUAAAAUUCCCGUUAUAUUUUUUAUAAAUUCGGAUCGGCGUAAAUUUCCCGGGGCGUGGGGACUUCCCAGGUUUAUCCCGACCUGGCCAGCAGUUUUACUUUCCAAAAUAUCGACGGAGGGCGUUUUGUUAUUUUUUUCAAAAUUUAAAUUCGUCGCUAUAUUAUUCGUUAUCGGGAAACCGAUUGAUUCUUUUUUUCCAAAGCCGCAUUUCGACGAUCCGCGUCCAACUGGUAUAUGGUGUCACGGCCCGGGGUAGGCAUAGCACGGAAGCUAGUUUAUUGGCAUCUAUCGAGGAAGAUUCUAUUCUGAGGAGAGGAAAGGAAACAAACAAAGUUCUGAGCUUGACGCGACGUCGAUAAAAGUAUUACCCUGGUGGGUCGUUGGUCAGGGGUUAGGGUUAGGGUCUGGUGAUCUUAUGGUCCAAAUGUCAUAUAUGGGGUUUAUAAACCCUGGAUCUGAUAAUUAGGUUAUAUUAAUAUUUCGAUAAUAUAUAGCCAAUAAAGGUAAAUUUUCCGGAAACCAAAACUGUCGGUAACGAUAAUUAGUAAAUAUUCCGUCCUCCGCCAAAAGAAAUCGUCCCACAAUUAUUUUUUAUAAUAUAUCCAAUAUUAGUAUCGGUAUUUUGCGGAAUUUCUGGCCUUAUAUUAUAAUAAUAGUUAAUGCAGCAAUAUUAAUUUGUUACGAAAUUUUUCCGUUAUAAUUUCCAAUUUUUUGGGGGUGGAAACCGAUGAUUUUAAGGGUUUUUAACGUUAUAUAUAAUCGCCGAGCAAAUUAUUUGCUAAUAAAAACAUAUUUAUUUGCUCCGGUAUUAAUUAAAAUACAAAUAUUAUAAUUAAAUUGGUUUAAAAAAAUAUUGGCCGUUAUAAAUAUAAGGUUACUGUUUAAAUAUCUACGUAAAAGAACGUAGGGUAUUGGUUUUUCUAGCAAUUUUUACUUUGCAGCGAUUUUUUCUUUUAAUUCGCAAAUUUCGGUGGUUAAUUACACUUUUUUUGAAAAGGAGUCCAAUUUCCCCAAAACAAUUAAUUUUCCAAUAUAACGACGUUUUUUCCAAACAUAUCGAUACGUUUUCCAUAAUAAUUUGCAAUAAUUUAAUUAAUUCGGUUUUCGGAAAUGGUGGGGUAAUUUGUAUUACCGUUAAAACGAUUCCUAUUAAUAUAGCCCGGUUUACGGUAUUAAAAACAUUUACCUGUUCGGAUAAAUUUACGCAUUUUCUCCACAUUUAAUUUGCUUUUUUCUUUUCGUUAAUAACGUUUCCGAUUAUCCGGGCUGGUUUUCCAAUACGUAAAAUAAUAAACCUUGUAUGGUUUUUUUAAUUAAAAUAAUUUUUGUUUUGAUUUUAUUUUCGGUCCGCGAGGCGUAGAUUUUGGUAAAAUUAUAAAAAAUACUAUCGGCCGUACGGACGUAAACGUUAAACAAAACGUUAAUAUCCUGGUGGUAUAUAAUUAUUAUAAUUUGCAAAUUGGUAAAUAAACGGCGGUGCAAUUCCCGUUUCCAAUUUCGUUCCGGAAAACCGUUUUAACCUACCAGUUUAACGAAUUUGUUUUUAAAAAUUAUAAAUUAUUUUUCGUUAAUAUAAUUAAUUUGUCCAAUUCGUUCCGCGUUAUACUUUCAAAUUUGGUAUGCUUUGUUACGGCCAGGCGUACAUUGGAGAACCUCAGUGUAUUAGGCGCUAUUAACGAAGAUUUUAAACUGAAGAGAAAAGAGAAAUUACAAUCGACGACGCGCUCAAAAGACGCGUUUAAAUCCGGAGUUAGUGGACCCUUGUCCGAUCCUUGGCUCGGCCUGGAGCUGAGUCGUUCUGAGGGUAGGUCUAGGGGUCUGAUCCUCACAUGCUUAUAUUUUUCGCGCAAAUAGCCUAUUAUACCGUCGUACGUAAUAAAUUAAUCGGGGUAAAUAUCGUUAAAAUAAAAAAGCAAAAUAUCGGCGGCGUUAUUUCCGAAACGGAAUUCGACGUAAACGCGUUUAUUUAUAUCGGUGGAACAAUACGUUCCGUCGAACAAUAAUUUGGUUUCAAUUCGGCGGUACCAGAUUUCGAAAAUAACCUCGUUUUUAUUGGAAUUAUUUGAAAAUGUCGAAGGAUUUUUUACGCGGAAUUUGUAAUAUAAACCACCGGAACUAAUACCAAUAAUAAUCGCGGUAAUUUUUCGUCGGGAACGGGUUUCGCGGAACAAACGCGAAAUAAUGGCCUCGUUUUUUUAUUUGGUAUUAUUUAAUAAAUUAAUUUGGUCCUAUAUAUAAAUAAUGCGAUUUUUCAAUUUGUUUACUAUUAUUUAAUAUUUUUCCUCGGAAAAAAAAUUUCGUUAAUUUUGCGUAUCGGUUUAUUAAUAUUUACUAAUAGUAAAAUUCGCUGGUCCCACUUAUUUAACCGAACGGGUUCGUUGGUAUUUUUUCGGAAAUCGGUGGUUUCGUUUUUCCUUUUAACCGUUAUAAUAUUUUCCGCGCGUUUUGGGAUCGACGGGCGACGUUAAACCCGUAUUCGUACCAUAAAUUGCUAACGCUGGCGUUUUGCGCGGGGUGGAUUUAUUUCGGGGCGACCGUGGUUAAAUUCGACCUUUUAUUUUUCCAAUUAGGCGGUCGGCUACCGUUCGGCGUUGUUUUUGGUUAUUUCGGUAUCGUGUUUUAUAAACGUUCGUAUUUCUUUUCGGUAUUGCGCUUUAUAGGCGUUCGUAUUUUUUUUUAAUAUCGUAAGUAUUAUUAUACCGUUCCCGGUAAUUAAUUGGUUAAGUUUUAAAUAUUAUUACGAAAACGAUCCCAAAAAAACAAAAUUGCAAUAUAGGGGCGAUUUUAUUCGAAAAUUUAAAAUUAAGUGUAAAAAAAGAAAAAAGGUACGCAAUGCUAAUCGCGUACACGUAUUUAAGCAAACAAAUAACAAACUUACCCUGGCGCUUUAUCACGCAAGGUGGAGCUAGUUACGAUUGGUAGUCGCCCAGGUACGCCAUUCCGUAACAUUCCCCUCCCCAUUUGUAUCUUUUUCCUCCUGUACUGGACUAUCCGCAUUUCUUAAUUGUAAUAAAUUUUGAAUUUCCUAUAUAGUAAAUAACCGUUUUGCGCGAAUACGUGUUUUUUUGGCCCUCCGUCGCUUAUUAAACGCUUCGUUGACCUUCCGAAGGCUGCGGACCUCUGCUGAUAAAAGCGUAAUUUAGUGCGCCAUUCCGUUUAUACCUUUUGUUUAUCGCUUUACUGCUUUAAAAAUUAAAGUGGAAAAGCUGUUUUAAUAACAAUUAAUUCGAGAUUUAACAAACGUAAAUUAAUAAACGGCUUUUUUUCGGGUUGUAAGGCGUUUGGGAAACCCAGGGGUCGGUAUUGGGGAAAAUAAGCUUUUUAGGUGACGGCGUCCGUAAUUUUACAUCCAAGUUGGAUAUAACCGUUUCCGGAUUAUAAGGAAUAAGCCCGGCCCUUCGAAAACCCCCGGCCAUAUUUUCUUUCGUUAUAAACUUUUUGUAGGCCGUUGCAAAGGCCAAAAAAAAAUUCGAUUUUGCUAAUAUUAUUAAUAUGGGCCCGGAUAAAAUCGUUGAUUUUUUAACCGUACCCCCGUUUAAAGACGUUAAAUACUCCGACGUUAAAUGGUUAAAUUAAAUAAAAUAAAUAAAUUGGUAGCUAAAGUGGAAUAAUAUUAUAAUUUUUGCAAUAGUUUUCGAAUUCGGGCGAUUAAUAACUGUUAUACCCAUCGAACAUUAGCAUUCGAUAUAUACCUUUUAUCCGCAAUUUUGUAUAAUUGUCGAAACACCGAACCUAAUCCAAACCUGUUUCGUUAUUUGUUUAUCCAUUAAGGGUUGUUUUAAAAUGCCAAAAGGCGGGAAAACCGCCUUUUGUAUACCAAUUCGCAAAAUGGUGGGCCCUUUUAAUAAUAAAAAAUGGGGGUAUAUUAUAACCGUCGUUACUAAUGUAGUAGAUUGCAAUAGCCCAUUUUCGAUUACCAGGUUGGAUUUUCUUCCUUUUUCCGCGUUUUUCGGACCCAAUUACGAUUAUAUAUGCGCAAAUUUGGCCUAUUAUAAAGCCGGUUUCGUCGAGGUUGUAAAUGUCGCAAUUCUAAAUGCCGUAUUUAACCUUUAUAUUGGUUAUUAAUCGAAACGACGCGUUUAACGCGUUAGGAUUUUCGCAAAAGGCCCUUUAAAAGUCGUAAACGCGAAAAAACGCGUUUUUAACUUUAUACGUCGCUUUACAAAGCGAUAAACCCAUUAUUUACCGACCGGUCGCGCGUCCCGCGCAGCGAAUAAAUGGUCGGUUAUUACGGCCACAUUAGCGAUUUGAGGCGGAAAUUCUCAAAAAUCCAGGUCCAGUAUAUAUUGGAUUAUUAUUUCCUUUUCGCUUUCCGUCAAUUUUUAAUUGCCUGGCCGAUGGUCGGCCAAAAAAACGCGACCAUUUAUUUUGGUUUGGAAUGUUAACCGUGGUAUAUUGUAGGUUGUAGCGACCCGUCGAAUCCUGGGUUUUUUGCAAAUCGAAGCUUUAUAAGCGUUAAAUUGAUUUGCGCUUCUUGGUUUGACGGUUCCAUCGUUGGUGGUGGAAAAAACACGUAUUAAAAAGAAAGGAUGGUUUAUGUUGGAAAAAUGGCCUGGGUCCUGAUAUGGCCCGGGUCCUGAUAAACCACGUUAUUCCCUUUUGCCUGCCUGCUUAUUUAUUUCACCUAAUUUAGCCAUUUAAUGUCGGAAUGUUUAACGUCUUUAAACGGGCGUACGGACAAAAAAUCAACGAUUUUAUCCGAACCUAUAUCACCAACAUUAGCAAAAUCGAGUUUUCUUUUAGUAUUUGUAACAGUUUACAAAAAUUCGGUAACGAAAGAAAAUAAGGCCGGGGGUUUUCGAGAAACUGGACUUAUCUUUUAUAACCGGGAAACGGUUAUAUUUAAAUUGGAUAUAAAAUUAGGAACGCCGUUACCCAAAAAGCUUAUUUUUUCCAAUAUCCAUACCUGGGUUUUUUAAACACCACAUAAUUCGACAAAAGCGAUUUAUCAAUCGACGUUUGUAAAAAUUCGUAUUAACGGUUAUUAAAAAAGUUCGCCAACGCUUAUAUUCGAUGCUGUAAAACGAUUGGCGAAAGGUAUGGACGCAUUUGCGUACAAAUAUACCCUUUUCGAAAUAAAAGUCCGCAGCUUUCGGACAACCAACGAAACGUUUAACAAACGACGCAGGGUUAAAAAAACACGUGUUCGCGAAAAAAGGUUAUUUAUUAUAUAAAAGGUGCAAAAUUUGUUACAGUUAAAUAUUGGGGAUAAUCCGGUACAGGAGGGGGAAAAUAAAAACGGAAAGGGGAACAAAACGCGGCGGGAAAUUAAACGGCGCUGCGGCAAUUGCGGAAAAACAGGACAUAAUGUACGCACUUGUUUGGAGAAUGAAGAAAUAUCCAAUUUUUAUACUUCCGAAUGUAUUAAGGUUAAUUAAACAACGCUGGCGUUGCAUAUAAAAUUGGGAGUUGGUCCAUGUUGGAAAAGUGGCCAGGGUAUUAAUAAACCACGUUAUUUCAAAUAAAACAACGUAGCAAAGUAGCUUAGAAUAUUAAUAAACGCGAAUUAAAACCCUAACUUCUGUUCCAUUA
Molecule: small RNA, 5937 nt
Filed under: Pyricularia oryzae
Lineage: Eukaryota; Fungi; Ascomycota; Sordariomycetes; Magnaporthales; Pyriculariaceae
Description: Magnaporthe oryzae sRNA M_BR32_EuGene_00074811
Source: RNAcentral